RNAcentral lists this long non-coding RNA (372 nucleotides) under Equus asinus (donkey). RNAcentral describes it as "lncRNA (ENSEASG00005029027.1)". The record is from RNAcentral. Lineage: Eukaryota; Metazoa; Chordata; Mammalia; Perissodactyla; Equidae.
GCCAGACGAAGUCCUCUGCAGAAGCUCGUGCAAGUCUGGCGGCCUUGAGCUCCACUGGGUCCUGUAUUGGGGGUGCGGAGGAGGUGCCGGACAGUCUUUCCCGAAGCCAAAGAAGCCUGCGCUUGGGGCGGCUGGGACCACGGAGAGACAGUCGGGAGGAGAGCGGGUCCUUUUGGGUCUACACCCUCCAACGAGUCCCACAUCCAUCCUCUUCUCCCCAAGCUGCUGUGCUCUCCGCUUUUCCACUGUGGCCUCUCCAAGCCUCCACCCAGCAGCAGAGGGAGCAUCUAACACAGAAGUCUGAUACCCUGUGUCCUGCCUCUGCUAAAAGGCCUCCAGUUGCUUCUCAUCAGACUUAGGAUUAAUCUGUAC